AACUUUCAGCUACGGAUCUCUUGGUUCUGGCAUCGAUGAAGAACGCAGCGAAAUGCGAUAAGUAAUGUGAAUUGCAGAAUUCAGUGAAUCAUCGAAUCUUUGAACGCACAUUGCGCCCUCUGGUAUUCCGGGGGGCAUGCCUGUUCGAGCGUCAUUACAACCCUCAAGCUCUGCUUGGUAUUAAGCCUCACCUGUAAUGGCGGGCUAUAAAAUCAAUGGCGGUGCCAUCUGGCUUCAAGCGUAGUAAUUUUUCUCGCUUUGGGGACCUGCUGUGUACCUGCUUAACACCAAUUUUAUUUAAAGGUUGACCUCGGAUCAGGUAGGGAUACCCGCUGAACUUAAGCAUAUCAAUAAGCGGAGGCU
This 363-nucleotide unclassified non-coding RNA is filed under the name uncultured Ascomycota. RNAcentral's name for it is "sequence contains ITS2". The stretch from base 1 to 154 matches the Rfam family "5.8S ribosomal RNA". The record is from RNAcentral. Lineage: Eukaryota; Fungi; Ascomycota.